AGUGAACGCUGGCGGUAGGCCUAACACAUGCAAGUCGAACGGCAGCACAGUAAGAGCUUGCUCUUACGGGUGGCGAGUGGCGGACGGGUGAGGAAUACAUCGGAAUCUACUUUUUCGUGGGGGAUAACGUAGGGGAUCUUACGCUAAUACCGCAUACGACCUACGGGUGAAAGCAGGGGAUCUUCGGACCUUGCGCGAUUGAAUGAGCCGAUGUCGGAUUAGCUAGUUGGCGGGGUAAAGGCCCACCAAGGCGACGAUCCGUAGCUGGUCUGAGAGGAUGAUCAGCCACACUGGAACUGAGACACGGUUCAGACUCCUACGGGAGGCAGCAGUGGGGAAUAUUGGACAAUGGGCGCAAGCCUGAUCCAGCCAUACCGCGUGGGUGAAGAAGGCCUUCGGGUUGUAAAGCCCUUUUGUUGGGAAAGAAAAGCAGCAGGUUAAUACCCCGCUGUUCUGACGGUACCCAAAGAAUAAGCACCGGCUAACUUCGUG
Molecule: ribosomal RNA, 492 nt
Filed under: uncultured bacterium
Lineage: Bacteria
Description: partial 16S ribosomal RNA
Rfam family: Bacterial small subunit ribosomal RNA
Source: RNAcentral